This 1550-nucleotide long non-coding RNA is filed under the name Anas platyrhynchos platyrhynchos (common mallard). RNAcentral describes it as "lncRNA (ENSAPLG00000020874.1)". Lineage: Eukaryota; Metazoa; Chordata; Aves; Anseriformes; Anatidae. The record is from RNAcentral.
CCCCAGUUGCCCCCAGUUGCUCCCAGUUGCCCCCGUACCGGUGAGGAUGGACUGGUCGACGCGCAGGGUCGUGGACUUGAUGGAGAGGAUGCGGAUGUCGGCUGGAACCUUGUCCCCCACUGCGGGCAGCCGUCGUUACUGGGAGGGACUGGGAGCACUGGGAGGGGCUGAGAGGGGGCUGGGGGGGGACUGGGAGGGGCCGAGGGGGGGCCGGGGGGGCUCUGGGGGUGACUGGGGAGUUACUGGGAGGCUACUGGGAUGCAUUAAGGGUAACUGGGAUGCACUAAGGCUUACUGGGAAGCUACUGGGAUGCGCGUGGGAGUUACUUGGGGGUUACGGGGAAGCUCUGGGGGUGACUGGGGAGUUACUGGGAGGCUACUGGGAUGCAUUAAGGGUUACUGGGAUGCACUAAAGCUUACUGGGAGGUUACUGGGAUGCACUACGGCUUACUGGGAUGCACGAAUUCUUACUGGGAAGUUACUGGGAUGCCCUUGGGGAUUACUUGGGGGUUAUGGGGAAGCUCUGGGGGUGACUGGGAGGUUACUGGGAUGCAUUAAGGCUUACUGGGAUGCACUAAGGCUUACUGGGAUGCACUAAUUCUUACUGGGAGGUUACUGGGAUGCACUAAGGCUUACUGGGAAGUUACUGGGAUGUAUGUGGGAGUUACUGGGGGGUCACAGGGAAGCCCUGGGGGUGACUGGGGAGUUCCUGGGAGGUUCCUGGGAUGCAUUAAGUGUUACUGGGAUGCACUAAAGCUUACUGGGAUGCACUAAAGUUUACUGGGAAGUUACUGGGAUGCCCUUGGAGAUUACUCGGGGGUUACGGGGAAGCUCUGGGGGUGACUGGGGAGUUACUGGGAGGCUACUGGGAUGCACUAAAGCUUACUGGGAUGCACUAAAGCUUACUGGGAGGUUACUGGGAUGCACUAAGGCUUACUGGGAAGCUACUGGGAUGCGCGUGGGAGUUACUUGGGGGUUACGGGGAAGCUCUGGGGGUGACUGGGGAGUUACUGGGAGGCUACUGGGAUGCAUUAAGGGUUACUGGGAUGCACUAAAGCUUACUGGGAGGUUACUGGGAUGCACUACGGCUUACUGGGAUGCACGAAUUCUUACUGGGAAGUUACUGGGAUGCCCUUGGGGAUUACUUGGGGGUUAUGGGGAAGCUCUGGGGGUGACUGGGAGGUUACUGGGAUGCAUUAAGGCUUACUGGGAUGCACUAAGGCUUACUGGGAUGCACUAAUUCUUACUGGGAGGUUACUGGGAUGCACUAAGGCUUACUGGGAAGUUACUGGGAUGUAUGUGGGAGUUACUGGGGGGUCACAGGGAAGCCCUGGGGGUGACUGGGGAGUUCCUGGGAGGUUCCUGGGAUGCAUUAAGUGUUACUGGGAUGCACUAAAGCUUACUGGGAUGCACUAAAGUUUACUGGGAAGUUACUGGGAUGCCCUUGGAGAUUACUCGGGGGUUACGGGGAAGCUCUGGGGGUGACUGGGGAGUUACUGGGAGGCUACUGGGAUGCACUAAAGCUUACUGGGAUGCACUAAAGCUUACUGG